Molecule: long non-coding RNA, 513 nt
Filed under: Monodelphis domestica (gray short-tailed opossum)
Lineage: Eukaryota; Metazoa; Chordata; Mammalia; Didelphimorphia; Didelphidae
Description: lncRNA (ENSMODG00000045853.1)
Source: RNAcentral
GAAUGGUCCACUUACACAAAGAGAGAACCAUCUGUACAUAAAAAGUACAUGCUGUAGAGAAUAUGCCAAGCAUGUAAGAAACUGACUCUUCCCUGACUCAUUGGAUCAUCUCAGUUACUUAGCCAAGACAGAUCUGAACUGGAAGCAUUUUUGAGAUACUCUGGGACUCCUGGAAAUGGCGCCUCUCUCUGGAACUCUACCUCAGAAAAUGAGAUCAGUAUGUGAAAUAAUGAAAUCAACCACCAUCUCAAACUUGGUGUAACUGCUAACACUGAGAAUUUAACAACUGGUUCUUGGGAGCCAAUUUGAGCUGGCUUCAGCAUACCCAUGGAUCACAGUAAAAGAAACUGGAGCUGAGUGGCAUCAUCAUCCUGGGAAGACUUAACUCCAUCAUGUUGCUUCUCUUCUUUGGUCCUCUGUAAAAUGAGCAUCCUCACUGGAACUUCUCCAACUCAUUCUGGCAGGUUGGGUUUCCAAAACAGCUCCCUCAGCUCCAAGGUUCAUCGAAGUCCA